This 497-nucleotide ribosomal RNA is filed under the name uncultured bacterium. Its description in RNAcentral is "partial 16S ribosomal RNA". It matches the Rfam family "Bacterial small subunit ribosomal RNA", at positions 28 to 507 of the family's 1533-position model. The record is from RNAcentral.
GAUGAACGCUGGCGGCGUGCCUAAUACAUGCAAGUCGAGCGAACAGACGAGGAGCUUGCUCCUCUGACGUUAGCGGCGGACGGGUGAGUAACACGUGGAUAACCUACCUAUAAGACUGGGAUAACUUCGGGACACCGGAGCUAAUACCGGAUAAUAUAUUGAACCGCAUGGUUCAAUAGUGAAAGACGGUUUUGCUGUCACUUAUAGAUGGAUCCGCGCCGCAUUAGCUAGUUGGUAAGGUAACGGCUUACCAAGGCGACGAUGCGUAGCCGACCUGAGAGGGUGAUCGGCCACACUGGAACUGAGACACGGUCCAGACUCCUGAGGGAGGCAGCAGUAGGGAAUCUUCCGCAAUGGGCGAAAGCCUGACGGAGCAACGCCGCGUGAGUGAUGAAGGUCUUCGGAUCGUAAAACUCUGUUAUUAGGGAAGAACAAAUGUGUAAGUAACUAUGCACGUCUUGACGGUACCUAAUCAGAAAGCCACGGCUAACUACGUG